Molecule: transfer RNA, 75 nt
Filed under: Streptomyces viridosporus T7A
Lineage: Bacteria; Bacillati; Actinomycetota; Actinomycetes; Kitasatosporales; Streptomycetaceae
Description: tRNA-Gly
Source: RNAcentral
GCGCCUGCAGCGGACCUUUGAUGCCCUCAGCUUCCCAAGCUGAGGGCGCGAGUUCGAUUCUCGUCACCCGCUCCA